RNAcentral lists this long non-coding RNA (4560 nucleotides) under Brassica napus (rape). RNAcentral's name for it is "long non-coding RNA (BNAP_LNC024069)". The record is from RNAcentral. Lineage: Eukaryota; Viridiplantae; Streptophyta; Magnoliopsida; Brassicales; Brassicaceae.
UUGUGUGGGACUGUCCCAACUGCUCCAUUACUGAUUGGUUGUUGUUAACAGCUGUAGAGUGCUGGAAGGAUAAAUCAAGUGCAGGGCGCUUUGAUGGCCAACCUGAAGAAGUCAUUGCAGAGUUUGUUCUAGUGAGGUUGAGCAGUUGAGAAGACUCGUCUUGAGGGAAGUUACUGAGGAGAGUGUGGAGUUGAGUGAUGGGAUUGUUUCCUCCGUUGGUGUCUGAGAAGCUUUGUUGAUGACAAAGAGGUGUCAUUGACUGGAGUAGAGACGUGUUUGACUGAGACAUAGCAGCACUGGAAGCAGACAGAUUAUGAUUAUCCACCACUUGCUGCUGUUGCUGAUGCUGCUGAGUGAGUUGCUGCUGCAGCAUCUGCGGCUGCACUAAGGAAGGAGGUUGCACUGAGAAACCUGAGGGAUUUUGGAACUGAAGAAGAGAAGCAGCAGCUUUAGCAGGAUCAAUGCCUCUCAUGUCUUGAAGUGCAGCUGCAGCCAUUGCUUGGUAAGCAUCAUUCUGCAUACCAAAUAUUUCUUUUUAAUCAUGUUUUUUUUUUCAAUUCUAUUAAUUUUGUUUUUGUGUGUUUACUUGCGUCACCUAAAACAUUACACAAACACAAUGUUGAUGUGUAUAAUUGUAUUUGUCAUACGUAAGUACGACUUAACUUUUCCACAAGUAUUAUAUCAAACAUAAAAAGGGUAGAAUUGUGUAUAAUUGUGUAUUAUACCUUUUCGCUUAUAAUUAUUUUUGUUAAUUAAAUCUGUAUUUUCUUUGUUUUUAUAUAUAUAUAAUGUUUUUAGAGAUUUAAGUGAACUGAUGCAACCAUUUAAAUGAAUGGUUGCAAUUGUUUGGAUGAAUAUUUGCAACUGUUUAAAUGAACCAUUAUAAUCCUUAAUGGUUAACCAUUGCAAGUUUUGGUGUUCAACCAUUGCAACAUUUGGUGAUCAACCAUUGCAAUCUUUGGUUGUUAACCAUUGCAAUAUUUGGUCUAUAUAUAUAUAUAUAUUAUAGGUUUUAGCAAUGAAAAAAUACAACAAAAAGAAACAUCAAAACAAAGAAAGAAAUAGAUAAAGAAAUGAAGAGAGAUUCACUACUCCAAAGGAACAUAAAAGAUCUUUGUAGAAUCACAUGUAAACCUCGGAAAUUUCUGUUUGUAUCUCUUGUAUCCUAGCCUAAAAGAAAAAGAAAAUUUAGUUGUCUUAUCUUACAUUAGCAAUUGCAUGUGAAUUUUAGAACUGAAAAGAUAAAAUAAAAUAAAAACACACAAAUGUUAUUAGAGAUUUUUUUUUCACCAUGUAUUUUUGGUGUUUAGGUAUCUGGCAGGCUUUUUUUUAAAAAAUCUUAAAAUAUAUAUUUCAAAAUUUUGUCUUAUAAAUAAAAAUUGUAUUAUACUGUUUUCAACAAUUCAACAUUACAAGAAAAUGUUUUGAAGAGUUAUAUCACUUUCUCAAAAAAAAAAAAUCGUUUGUAUACUCUAUUGAUAAUAUCAAACCAAAAUAUAGAAUUAAGAGAUUGGAUCUUUUUAUCACAGUUUUAUAUCUUUUAUUUACAAUUAAUUUUUAAUAAUUUAAAAAUAUUUUAAUAUUCGUCCUUUUAUUUUUAACUAUAUUAAUUAUAUAAAUAUUUUUAAAUGUUGACUUCUAUAUACUAUUAUUUUUUGGUUCUAAACAUUUUAAUAUAUUAUUGUUAUUAUAGUUUUCCUCCGCGACAUCGCGGGGUUCCAUUCCUAGUUCUCUUAAUAGCCAAUCAACACACAAACCCUAAUAGUUUCUAAAAACACACACACACAAGCCCUAAUCAUAAAUUCUUCUAUGUUGCAAGAUAUUUAUGGAUAUCACGUUCACGUUUCUAUGUUGUAACCAUUCUACAAAUUUCGUUUCAUAUUCCUUAUACUUUGGUGAAAACAAAACUUACAUUGAUCUUACGUUUGUUUUUUUGCUAUUUUGUUUUCAAUACCACAUACUAUUUUUUUUAGCAACUGAAUUAUAUUAAAAAUUUAGAGGACUUUAUAGCAUGAAGCCAUGUCCACUUGGAAAAUUUUGUUACAAAGACAUGCUCAUUGAAAAUCCUAGAAAUGAAAAAUGCUUGAAAAAAAAACUAAAGAAAAAUGUUUGCUAGAAUUCCAAAAAGCUCUCUAGAUCGUCAAUUCGUGGUAAUGGCUUGUACAUGCCCUUUGCAGUCUAAUCGAAGCUAGAUGUGGUUGAUGAUAAAAGAUACCACAUGUCCAGAGGCGGGCUUGUACCAAGGCUCACGAAACAUUCGUAUGGGACCCCCACCUAAUGGGACCCCACUCUUAAUUUUUGCUUAUGCAAUGUUAGUAUGUGUAAUCUUAUGUGCAACAGUGCAAGACAAAUUAAAAAUCAGAGUUUUGGUUUGUGGUGUACAGAAUAAAAUAUUAUGUGGGUCUGUAGCAUUACCAAGUAAGUUAUUUGAUUUUCUCUAUUUUUUUAUUUAUUUAAAUGAUUUAUAAUAUUAUAGUAAAUUUUUUUUUAACUCACCAGAAGAAACUUACAAAACUGGUUCUUUAGCUUCUUCUUUGUAAACAUAAGUUCAUAAGAAAACCACAUAUUUUUUCUUUUGAUUCUUAGGUAAAAUCAAUUUUUUUUUUCUGAAUAGGGCCCCGGAAAUCUCAGGCCCGGCUCUGCGCAUGUCCGAGAGCUGCUCGAAUCGCUAAUGCUUCCGCCAUGAGAGGAGAAGCUACGUGUUCUUGGAAGAAACAUCCUCUAGCUUAUCCCCGAUGAUGAUUGGUCAGUAAAAAUCCAAUACCAUAUACUAUAAACGUUAGGGUAUAUCUUAAUUGAUGUACCAAUAAAAGUGUAUUACGAGUACGAACUACGGAUCGAUACGUGUCAAGAAAAAAGGUUACUGCUGACGCAAAACGAGAUCUAGUUUUAGUGUAAAGCGCGCCCUGAAUAGCGGGUCCGAAUAUUUCGGUGUUUCACACAAACCAAUAAAUGAACUGGGACACAAAAAUCACUUUCUCAUUUCUAUGUGGACCAGUGACUUUCAGACAAAAGUCUUAAUAGCUCCAAAAGACCAAAACCAUCAAGUUGAUUGGAGAAGUGGUGAGCAACGAAAAUGACAUAACAAAAGUUCAGUAAAAAUAUUCAUAUAAGUAAAAGAAAAAGACCAAAAGAUUUUAUAAUUACAGUAUUACGACAGAUAUAGUUUUUUUUUUUUCUGUUUCCACAAAGUCCAACACAAAGCUCUCUUCUCAAGUAAUAAAGAGAGAUAAAAAGCUAGUAAUUAAACCAAGAGGAUCAAUACUUAAUAACUUGAACACCAAGCAAAAGAGUUUUUUCUUUCUACUUGUCUAGUAGUUGAACGAACCCCCAACGGAUGCAAUACCGUUACCGAGACUCCUCGGGUCUGACCGGUUCCCCAAGUCAUCACAGUUCCCAUUGCUCGGGACCUUAUCCACAUUAUUGGAAGAUGGAGCAGAGUUGAGAAGCUCAAGGCCUCUUUUACCCAUUUGCUGCACUUCUUGUGGUGAGAGUAUCUUAAUGCACCACACGCUGCUCACAAACUCCCUGUGGUCAGAUUGAAAGUAAACCACAAAAGUUAGAUCAGUGGCACAAUGCCAAGUGAGGGAAGUAACUUACGGCCAAGGGUCAUCGCCGAGGAGAAGAACAUCGUUCUCUCGGUCAACAAAUACAAGCUGCCAGCCUGAUCUCACAGGAUCUUCUAAUUGGCCUUCGAGGCCAAACAUGCGAGCAAGCUCGCUUCGCAGCUCGUUGUAGCUGCUGAACUUCGUUAUAUCUAAUGAUCUUCCAAAAGAACCCGACUUGUACACCUGCGAGAACAUUUGCAUUAGGUCAUCACUAGUUACGUGCGAAACAAGAAACACACUUUUAUUUACCUUGACAAAGGUAUUAGACUGUUGAUUCUCUGAGGGCUGUAGAAAACCUGGUUCCUCUAUACAACUAGAAGGUGUCGUCAUUGUACCAGAGAACUCGUUGUUGAAAGUUGAUGAUGUGAAGGGUAGAGUGGUGGAGUCGCCGCCUUCAAUGCCAAUGCUUCUAAGGUUUGACAUUCCGUUUGGGAUCAGAAGGGAAGAUGAAUCUAUGUUGACUCCAAAAAGAAGAUGGCUGUGAGGGUCUGAGGGGUUCUCUUCUUGACCACUGGGGAAUGGAGGCAACGAGACAGCAUUUGGAGAAACGUUACUUGUGUGGGACUGUCCCAACUGCUCCAUUACUGAUUGGUUGUUGUUAACAGCUGUAGAGUGCUGGAAGGAUAAAUCAAGUGCAGGGCGCUUUGAUGGCCAACCUGAAGAAGUCAUUGCAGAGUUUGUUCUAGUGAGGUUGAGCAGUUGAGAAGACUCGUCUUGAGGGAAGUUACUGAGGAGAGUGUGGAGUUGAGUGAUGGGAUUGUUUCCUCCGUUGGUGUCUGAGAAGCUUUGUUGAUGACAAAGAGGUGUCAUUGACUGGAGUAGAGACGUGUUUGACUGAGACAUAGCAGCACUGGAAGCAGACAGAUUAUGAUUAUCCACCACUUGCUGCUGUUGCUGAUGCUGCUGAGUGAGUUGCUGCUGCAGCAUCUGCGGCUGCACUAAGGAAGGAGGU